Molecule: long non-coding RNA, 513 nt
Filed under: Pongo abelii (Sumatran orangutan)
Lineage: Eukaryota; Metazoa; Chordata; Mammalia; Primates; Hominidae
Description: lincRNA
Source: RNAcentral
ACCCUGUCCUAUGUGGACGUCAGCACUGGGAAGUGCACAGCCAGAGAACAACACAUCACACACAGGAAACAGUUGUGCUCAUGUGAUGGGGGCCUCAGCACUAGGAAGGAGUGGACUAUUGGCGCAUGUAGCAGCUUGAAUAAAUCUGAAAGUCACUACACUGCGUAAGAGAAGCCAAAUAAAAAAGUUCAUGCUGUGUACAGAGGGUGUUGAGAAUGCCUCCUACGUGACGGAAAGCAGAUCCGUGGUUCCCUGCAGACCGGCAGGAGCAGAUUCCAAAGGCACAGGAAGAAGCUUGCAGGCAGCUGCUCCCAACCCCAGCAACUUUGCUAUCUUAGAACGGAUCACCAGUGAAAGAGGGGAAGUUGCUACUGUGAUGAAUUCUGCCAUGUGGUACCAGACUGCUGCCCAGACCACAGUGUCCUCUGCAACCCUGGUAACUCACAUACAGGCCUGAUUCCACCUACAGCAAAGCUGGAUGCUAUGGUUGGCAGAGGCAAGCCCCUUGCCUGC